This 255-nucleotide ribosomal RNA is filed under the name uncultured bacterium. RNAcentral's name for it is "partial 16S ribosomal RNA". It matches the Rfam family "Bacterial small subunit ribosomal RNA", at positions 524 to 776 of the family's 1533-position model. The record is from RNAcentral.
UACGGGGGGGGGCAAGCGUUGUUCGGAAUUACUGGGCGUAAAGGGCUCGUAGGCGGCCAACUACGUCAGACGUGAAAUCCCUCGGCUUAACCGGGGAACUGCAUCUGAUACUGGAUGGCUUGAGGUUGGGAGAGGGAUGCGGAAUUCCAGGUGUAGCGGUGAAAUGCGUAGAUAUCUGGAGGAACACCGGUGGCGAAGGCGGCAUCCUGGACCAAUUCUGACGCUGAGUGAGCGAAAGCCAGGGGAGCAAACGGG